This 72-nucleotide transfer RNA is filed under the name Camelus bactrianus (Bactrian camel). It matches the Rfam family "tRNA". Rfam says of the family: Transfer RNA (tRNA) molecules are approximately 80 nucleotides in length. Their secondary structure includes four short double-helical elements and three loops (D, anti-codon, and T loops). The record is from Rfam by way of RNAcentral. RNAcentral also lists the same sequence under 2 other names. Lineage: Eukaryota; Metazoa; Chordata; Mammalia; Artiodactyla; Camelidae.
GAAGGUACAGCUCAGUGGUAGAGUGCGUACCUAGCAUGCAUGAGGUCCUGGGUUCAAUCCCCAGUACUUUCA